UGAACAGAAAGUAUUUUGUCUUUUCAGGCAGGAAACCUAGGGAAGGCUUUCCCAGAGAUAUAUUUCCACCAUGUGGCCAGGACAAUAAACAUGAGGCUUUUGAUCUGGGUGGCAAUAGUGGUGGAGCCAGAGUUCUAAAAGGAGAAAAAUGGGAAACAAAUCUGCCAGAGGAAUCAAACAUUCCUCCAAGAAGUCCUGAUUCUUUUUACUGAUGACUGGUAUUUAGAAAC
This 230-nucleotide long non-coding RNA is filed under the name Mustela putorius furo (domestic ferret). Its description in RNAcentral is "lncRNA (ENSMPUG00000027422.1)". Lineage: Eukaryota; Metazoa; Chordata; Mammalia; Carnivora; Mustelidae. The record is from RNAcentral.